Long non-coding RNA from Anthonomus grandis grandis, 1104 nucleotides. RefSeq lists it as uncharacterized. NCBI's taxonomy places the organism in Eukaryota, Metazoa, Arthropoda, Insecta, Coleoptera, Curculionidae. The transcript is spliced from 2 exons. The record is from RefSeq and is a predicted model, not a curated record.
CGGUAGAACAAAAAAUUAAAAAUCUUGAAAGUCAAUUUGCAAGAGAAGUAAAAAAAAUAAAGAACAGCAAGAAAUCUGGCUCUGGUACGGAGGAUGUGGUUUGCUUUUGAAAGUAUGAAAUUUUUACUAGACAAAAAUAAGCCGAGGGAGAUGUUGGAUUCACAGGUUUUAUCAGGGAUGGGUGCAGUGGAAGAUGCCAACGAUGUGGAUAAUACUGCUGAUGAGCAUGAGAUUACUCAAGAUGCCAUUUUAAAUACUGGAGAAGGCAACUCUGAAGACUCUACGAGGAGUAAUGUAAAUGCUGAUAAUGUUAAAAAAGCAAAGGAUACUUUAACUACAUAAAAAAAAACAGUUUAAGUCGCCAGCUCUUGGCCACGUACCUUCAAGAAAAAGGAAAUGCGAAAACCCAAUGGUCAAUGAAGCCUACGAGAUAAUGACGCAAACAUUAGCGACAAAACAAUCAAAGGAUGUGUUUACCAUAUUUGGCCAAGAAGUGGCUGUGACAUUGCGAAAUUUGCCCACUACUUAUGCUCAAGCUACAGUGCAACACAAAAUAAGCACACUUCUGUUUGAAGCAAAAUUGGGAAAUUACAAUUAUCCCGUAGCACAACAACAACAGCAUCAGUAUUUUUCUCAGGCUCAGCAACAACACUAUUAUCCUCAAUCUCAGCAUUCUCAGCAACAGCAAUAUUUUACCAGUACAGCAAAUUCAGGUGGCUUACUGACGACCUUACUGAUGCAUUCCCCGGAAUCAUAUUCCUCAUGCUCUCCUUUUAGCAGUCCCCCUACUUCGGCACAAUCAACUACUGCCCUUACAACUGAUGAAGAUGAAGCUGCAGAUCGUUUCAUCACCCAACUGCAAUCUCCAGGAAGUCAUACCUCAUAAGCUCGGUCAUAAGUAUAGAUAUGCGCACAACUAUUCUCAUUUAGGGUUUAAAUAUUUAGUUUUGUUUUAGUUAUAGUUUAUUUUUACUACUGUUGUGCUUAUUUAUUCUUUAUUAUGGUUAUAAAAAUUUGAUUUAAGAAGUAGCUUUAACUAUAUUUUCAUAUUUUCAUAUUUAUAUAAAUCUCGUUAAAUCUUAAUAAAUAAAGUGCUUACCUUAA